Molecule: ribosomal RNA, 72 nt
Filed under: Elusimicrobia bacterium GWD2_63_28
Lineage: Bacteria; Pseudomonadati; Elusimicrobiota
Description: partial 16S ribosomal RNA
Rfam family: Bacterial small subunit ribosomal RNA
Source: RNAcentral
UUUUUUGGAGAGUUUGAUCCUGGCUCAGAGUUAACGCUGGCGGCGUGCCUAACACAUGCAAGUCGAGCGAAG